CUAAUACCGAAUAAAGUCAAUUAAUUUGUUAAUUGAUGAAAGGAAGCCUUUAAAGCUUCGCUUGUAGAUGAGUCUGCGUCUUAUUAGCUAGUUGGUAGGGUAAAUGCCUACCAAGGCGAUGAUAAGUAACCGGCCUGAGAGGGUGAACGGUCACACUGGAACUGAGAUACGGUCCAGACUCCUACGGGAGGCAGCAGCUAAGAAUCUUCCGCAAUGGGCGAAAGCCUGACGGAGCGACACUGCGUGAAUGAAGAAGGUCGAAAGAUUGUAAAAUUCUUUUAUAAAUGAGGAAUAAGCUUUGUAGGAAAUGACGAAGUGAUGACGUUAAUUUAUGAAUAAGCCCCGGCUAAUUACGUGCCAGCAGCCGCGGUAAUACGUAAGGGGCGAGCGUUGUUCGGGAUUAUUGGGCGUAAAGGGUGAGUAGGCGGAUAUAUAAGUCUAUGCAUAAAAUACCACAGCUCAACUGUGGAACUCUAUUGGAAACUAUAUGUCUAGAGUCUGAUAGAGGAAGUUAGAAUUUCUGGUGUAAGG
RNAcentral lists this ribosomal RNA (531 nucleotides) under uncultured Borrelia sp. RNAcentral's name for it is "bacterial SSU rRNA". It matches the Rfam family "Bacterial small subunit ribosomal RNA", at positions 163 to 680 of the family's 1533-position model. The record is from RNAcentral. Lineage: Bacteria; Pseudomonadati; Spirochaetota; Spirochaetia; Spirochaetales; Borreliaceae.